UUUGGUAACCAUUAUGUUGGGGGUUGUGUUUCGGCCACAGUCUAGGAGGGAGUGUCGUCCUACCAGAA
This 68-nucleotide transfer RNA is filed under the name Brachydistomum sp. PakPr2. Its description in RNAcentral is "tRNA-Arg". Lineage: Eukaryota; Metazoa; Platyhelminthes; Trematoda; Plagiorchiida; Dicrocoeliidae. The record is from RNAcentral.